This 72-nucleotide transfer RNA is filed under the name Camelus bactrianus (Bactrian camel). It matches the Rfam family "tRNA". From Rfam's summary of the family: Transfer RNA (tRNA) molecules are approximately 80 nucleotides in length. RNAcentral also lists the same sequence under 1 other name. The record is from Rfam by way of RNAcentral. Lineage: Eukaryota; Metazoa; Chordata; Mammalia; Artiodactyla; Camelidae.
GAGGGUAUAGCUCAGUGGUAGAGUGCAUGGUUAGCAUGCAUGAGGUCACGGGUUUGAUACCUAGUACCUCCG